RNAcentral lists this ribosomal RNA (1045 nucleotides) under uncultured archaeon. RNAcentral's name for it is "bacterial SSU rRNA". It matches the Rfam family "Archaeal small subunit ribosomal RNA", at positions 1 to 1054 of the family's 1478-position model. The record is from RNAcentral.
UCCGGUUGAUCCUGGCAGAGGUCACUGCUAUCGGGGUUCGACUAAGCCAUGCAAGUCGAGAGGGGUAAAGCCCUCGGCGAACUGCUCAGUAACACGUGGAUAACCUGACCUAGGGUGGAGGAUAACCCCGGGAAACUGGGGAUAAUACUCCAUAGGCUACGGAAGCUGGAAUGCUCUGUAACCCAAAGCUCCGGCGCCCUAGGAUGGGUCUGCGGCCGAUUAGGUUGUUGUCGGGGUAACGGCCCAACAAGCCGAUCAUCGGUACGGGUUGUGGGAGCAAGAGCCCGGAGAUGGAUUCUGAGACAUGAAUCCAGGCCCUACGGGGCGCAGCAGGCGCGAAAACUUUACAAUGCGGGAAACCGUGAUAAGGGGACCCCGAGUGCCUGUACACGCAGGCUGUUCAGGUGUUUAAAACGCAUCUGGGGAAAGGGCCGGGCAAGACCGGUGCCAGCCGCCGCGGUAAUACCGGCGGCUCGAGUGGUGGCCACUAUUACUGGGCUUAAAGCGUCCGUAGCCGGGUCGUUAAGUCUCCCGGGAAAUCCAACGGCUCAACCGUUGGGCGUUCGGGGGAUACUGGCGAUCUAGGGACUGGGGGAGGUGAGAGGUACUCUAGGGGUAGGAGUGAAAUCCUGUAAUCCUUGGGGGACCACCUGUGGCGAAGGCGUCUCACCAGAACAGCUCCGACGGUGAGGGACGAAAGCUGGGGGAGCAAACCGGAUUAGAUACCCGGGUAGUCCCAGCUGUAAACGAUGCGCGUUAGGUGUAUCGGUGACUACGAGUCACCGAGGUGCCGAAGGGAAACCGUGAAACGUGCCGCCUGGGAAGUACGGUCGCAAGGCUGAAACUUAAAGGAAUUGGCGGGGGAGCACCACAACGGGUGGAGCCUGCGGUUUAAUUGGACUCAACGCCGGGAAGCUUACCGGGUAAGACAGCGGAGUGAUAGCCAGGCUGAAGCCUUUGCUUGACCAGCUGAGAGGAGGUGCAUGGCCGUCGUCAGUUCGUACUGUGAAGCAUCCUGUUAAGUCCUGGCAACGAGCGAGACCCA